GAUGAACGCUGGCGGCGUGCCUAACACAUGCAAGUCGAGCGAUUCUCUUCGGAGAAGAGCGGCGGACGGGUGAGUAACGCGUGGGUAACCUGCCCUGUACACACGGAUAACAUACCGAAAGGUAUGCUAAUACGAGAUAAUAUGCUUUUAUCGCAUGGUAGAAGUAUCAAAGCUUUUGCGGUACAGGAUGGACCCGCGUCUGAUUAGCUAGUUGGUAAGGUAACGGCUUACCAAGGCGACGAUCAGUAGCCGACCUGAGAGGGUGAUCGGCCACAUUGGAACUGAGACACGGUCCAAACUCCUACGGGAGGCAGCAGUGGGGAAUAUUGCACAAUGGCGAAAGCCUGAUGCAGCAACGCCGCGUGAGCGAUGAAGGCCUUCGGUCGUAAAGCUCUGUCCUCAAGGAAGAUAAUGACGGUACUUGUAGGAGGAAGCCCGGCGUAACUACGUAGCCAGCAGCCGCGGUAACUGAGUAGUACGA
RNAcentral lists this ribosomal RNA (481 nucleotides) under uncultured bacterium. RNAcentral describes it as "bacterial SSU rRNA". It matches the Rfam family "Bacterial small subunit ribosomal RNA", at positions 28 to 537 of the family's 1533-position model. The record is from RNAcentral.